GCAAGUCGAGCGAGAAAGGCCUUCGGGCUGAGUACAGCGGCGGACGGGUGAGUAACGCGUAGGAAUCUACCUGGUAGUGGGGGACAACAUGGGGAAACUCAUGCUAAUACCGCAUACGCCCUAUGGGGGAAAGCGGGGGAUCUUCGGACCUCGCGCUAUUGAUGAGCCUGCGUAGGAUUAGCUUGUUGGUGAGGUAAAAGCUCACCAAGGCGACGAUCUUUAGCUGGUCUGAGAGGAUGACC
This 242-nucleotide ribosomal RNA is filed under the name uncultured bacterium. Its description in RNAcentral is "partial 16S ribosomal RNA". It matches the Rfam family "Bacterial small subunit ribosomal RNA", at positions 57 to 305 of the family's 1533-position model. The record is from RNAcentral.